This is a long non-coding RNA of Oenanthe melanoleuca, 4980 nucleotides long. RefSeq lists it as uncharacterized. Lineage: Eukaryota; Metazoa; Chordata; Aves; Passeriformes; Muscicapidae. The transcript is spliced from 12 exons. The record is from RefSeq and is a predicted model, not a curated record.
UAUUCCAUGGCAAGCAGGCGGGAAAGAAGUAUCAAAGGGACGUUUAAAAAAAUGCACUUGGUAACUAGCAACGGGACUUUUGGCACAAUUCCUUGAGUUUGCUUGAGGUUAUGGAGGGGGGAUGGGAAGAAGAAAAGCAAGUCCACGCAGCACGUUUUCUUUAAAGAAGGGGAGGUUGUAUGGAGGCAAAACUAUAUAAAUUUUUUUUUUUUUUUUUAAGGAAACGUAUGUUGAUCUUCUGAAGCUGAAUCCUCAGGCAUUUGUGGCCCGUCCUUGCAGCCUGGUAUGUUUUUUGUGAGUGUGUGCGAGCGCUCUCAAUCAAACAGCAAUCAUGGCAGCUGUUUUUCUUCCAGCACAGCAGUUGAGCUGUCUCGCCCAAAUGCUUAUCAGCUUUUGACUCGGUGCCAAGAGAGUUAUAAGGGCCAAGCAGCCUGAGUUUGGCUGUGCAGCUGGUUUGGAAGUAAGGGCAUGAGAAAACAAAAUCACGAAGUUUUUCUGUCACAUAUAGUAUUUACUUUUUCAAAUAGCCAUUUUCAGCUCGGUAGGUUUGGGUUGGUUUUGUGUGUGUGUGUGUGUGCGCUGUAGUUCGUGGUCCUUGCGGACCGCUGUGUUACGCAGAGCAAUGUAGGUGUGUGAAUGCAGAGAGGAGCCUCUUCUCUCCGUUUAAUCCCGGGAGAUAUUUCCGUAGAAACCACCCCCCCACACACACCCCCACCUCCCCCAAUUAAAAGCUUCAUUAGCCGCACUGCCCUGUCAAGCAUAUUGCCAUAGCGUGGGUGCAUUUACAUUCCAGCGCAGCGCCUUUCCUCCCAUCGCUGCCUGUCUCCCGGUCCCCUCCCGGCGGCGCCGUCCCCAUCGCAGCCCCCGGCCCGCGGGGUACCCGCCGGGGUCGCAGCGGGGCCGGGCUCGGUGCGUGUCCGUGUGCCCGUGGCUGCGGGGGAUGGAACGGAGCCUGUCCGCGCAGGGCCGUGCCGCUUUCAUCAUCAGCUCCAGCCUGCUGCGUUUCGCUGGCUCACGUCCUCCUCCUCCUCCUCCUCCUUCUUCUCCUCCUCCGCCAGACUGCUCCAGUCGCUCACAAGAAGGAGGCUGGACUCUGGAAAGGCGGCUGCUGCUCGCAUUCCUGCUGCAAGGGCCUCCCCUUCAGACGGCCUUUGCCAGAGCAGAACUUUUAAAAAUGCUGCAAAUAGGAUCUUCUUUUUCUUCUGCUUGCCUGAGCCCUCCUCUCCCAGCGUUCCCGAGCGGGGCUGGUUCUCGCCUUUCCUGCGCUGUACAUCCCAAUGCAGAGGGCAAAGCGCCGAGGGCUCGCCCCUUCGCUCAUCCCUUUCCCUCACUCCCUUUUCCCUCUGUUAAGGAAAUGGAUUCCUUUGCCUGAGCAAUGAUUCGGGCUUUGCAGCGCCCAUUGUUGCCGGCGGGGCCGGUGCGGCGCGGGGCGAGGCCGCCUCCCGGGCCUGCCCGGCCGCGCAGAUGCGCCGCCUCGCCCGGAGCCUCCCGCCCGCCUUCCCGGGGACUGCGGAGCUGCGAGGGGAACACCCAGCGCCGCAUCCAUCGGCGGCUCCCGGGCCCCGUCCCGCCCUGCCAGGGUCCAGCUCUGGCCCUCAGAAGGGCGUCACUCACUGCGGAGCUGCUGCAGCACCCGAGGUCUGAACCCGUGGAUUCAGCAUGGAGAGCCCUCAUCUCCAGCAGCCAGGUGGAACAGACUGCUGGGAAAAGGGACUUUGGUGUGUGACAGCGAGAUUCACCAGUGCCCCUUCCACCACUGCAUAUCAGCCUGGAUGUAGUCACCCUGUCAGGAGUGUAAAAUUUACAGAAGAAAUUAUUUUAGCACUGGAAAAGCUCUUACUCAUCUGAACCACAUUCAAAAUGCAUGUUGAAAGUGGCCAAGCAGAAGUUCACCAUCCCACUGUCUGCAGGACUCCUGCAGAUCUUCUGAAGCUUAAGCUGUUCCAGCAUGUCUGUCUCAGGCUGUCCCUAAAAAGAAGAAGCAAUAAUCUGUCGGAAUGAAUUCAGAACACACAAAGUGGAGCCACUGGAGACUAAUCUGCAAAGUAUUCAGAUUCUGCUACCCAGCUGCUUCUGGGACUUCAUGCAGUUUGCCUCAUCUGAGAGAACUUCAGAUAAGUUACAUGGAAAACUGAUAGUAAAUCCCAGAGUACCAGAUUUUGCUGCACAUAAUUCAGAUGUAACACAUGGGACCAGUGAAUGAUGGUGUUGCUGUUGAGCAAAAAUUGGAAGGAAACUGUGAGGGUCAAUAGACUGAGAAAAUGAUCCUGCCCAUCAUCACAGGAAACCAUAACCCUCACCACUGUGGGACAGGAGUGAGCAGCAAUGACCAGCUUCACUGCCUUAGGAACAGCCCAUUAGCUGUAUUUUUCAGAUAAGUGUCGCUGAUAACAUGCAAAUCAGAAUCUGUUAACCACUGGCUGUUCCAGAUAUGACCUCAAAGCCAACGAGGGAGACUUCAUGUAGUAUGACUCAAAACCAGAUGUAUUUUGGUAAAAAGAAUUACUGAGGAACCAAGUUAAAAAUGAAAGAAGUGAAGACUGGUCAUCUGUGCAGAGGAAAUUACAAGAAAAAACUAUUGAUAGGUCUUCCUGACAGGUCUUUCUGAGGAGAAACAGCUGCAGAAUGUGGAAUCAGUUGUGUGAAAUUCCUGUUGGUGAGGCCUUUGACCUACAGCUUCUGCUGAGUGAUCAAAGAGAGAACUUUUGCAGGGCCUUCGGGGGAGUGGGAAAGGUGCAGUUUUGGAGAGCUGGACAUCACAUACCAAGUCAGAGAUGAUGGUGAUCAGUUUAAGUGUCCAGUUUUGUGUUCAGAGAUGGUAAGAUCCUCACUUUAGUGAUGCUGAAAGCCAGGGCAGAGGGCUUCCAUGCCCCUGUCCCCCUGCAGUGUGACCAGCUGCCCACAGGCUGGGAUUUGCCGAGGGAGACAACUCUCCUUGAUCCAUGUGGGGCUGAUGGAUGCAGCAUUUAUUGUGUUCUUUAAUUUAAAGGUUAGUUCACUGAUUAAGGUAGGGUGUUUGUUUUAAAAGUUUGCUUAUUUAUUAAAGCAGUGUUUAUAUUUUAAUACAGACUGAUAUGUCAGUUAUUCCCCCUUCUUUAGAUCUGCCCUGAAUGGGAAGUGUUGUUGUCUAUCAAACCAGGUGGCAGCCAAUAACAACCCCCUCAAACUCAAGUACAAGUUUGAGGCUGCAGAAGCUGAUGGUGUAGUGGCAGUUCUGCUAAUCCCCCUGACUAAGGUCUGUGUGGUACAGUGAGGUGUGUUUAGUGUGGUCAUCAGUUCAGAGCUGGGUUACUGCUCAGUUAGGAGUAUUGCUGAGUAGGCCACAGUUCCUCACAGUCUUGACAAAUUAAUUGAUCAGUCUUUGGGGUUUACUUAUGCAGAACUUGGGAAAUUCACUUAGAGAACCUCAGCUUUUCCCUGUUAGGAUAAUGAAGGAGUAUCUGGAAGCAUGUUAAACAAUCCCUCUAAUUCAGCAUCCAUUCCAAGUCAUAGUGGUGCCUUUCCUGAAGUGACAAGCUGGUUUGAUAAAGUAGAGUCAUGUAGGAGCUGGAAGUACACAAGUGCAGUUAUUAAAAAUGAAUGCUGUAUCCUGUUUCCUUUGUGUAUCUUGUCACUGACAUGACUUCACACGUUGCAAAUCUAUUAAACAUUUCAAGCACGGAACUGGGCUCAUUAAGCAGAAUGUUGACUGGUAUAGAGCAAACUGUUUCAAAUUCAAGACUGUCAACAUUUGUCUCCAGAGUUUUUUGUCUUCUAGGUUGUCGCCAAGCAAUCCAACUGUCUGGGAAUACAGCCUGUGCUUCCUGUGAUCAGAGUGUGACUGUCCUUUGGGGUGAGGUAGUAGGUUGUAUAGUUUUAGGGCUAUGCCCUGCCUGUCAGAUAACUAUACAAUCUACUGUCUUUCCUGAAGUGGCUGUGAUGUCAGCGCUGGAUGUCUCCGAAAGACAAUGCAGAUAUUUUUCAACUGUACCAUUCUCUGGCUCUGUCUGUAUGUUUGGUUCUUGUACACAGAUGUCCUUAGAGUGUUUCAAUUCCUGUAUUUCCCAGUCAGGCUCAAAAGCCAUUUCCUUCUGGCAUUUUUGGAGAGCAGGAGGGAUAUGAGUGCCAGGACACAGAAGUACCAAUCCACAGUAGAUUUGCUCACACAGAACUGUCAGGGACUGCAAUGGGAGUGGCUACUUGGAAACAGCUGAUCCUUUUCCCCCUUGUUUCUGGCAUUUGUGUUCAUAUUAAAUAUAAAAUGGUACUUUUGAUUCAGCAGCUGUUUAAAUCCACUUGGUGUAGGCUGUUUGAGAAACUACAAAGGGAUGAGCUGGACAAAACCCUGUGAAGAUGGCUUCAGUCAUUCGAGUUCUGCCCUGGAACUGGUAAAUUCUUGAAUUCUAAGUAAGAUGUCUCUUCAGUUAGUUUUGGGCACUGAUUUAACUCACUUUUAUUACAUAUUGCUGGUCUGGGAGGGACAGUGUUUGCUAGUGCAGUUCUCCUGCCUCUGGAGUCCUUCCACCAGUUCUGUCUGACUCCCAGGUACAGCUGUGGGGAAAGGCAGAGAGGUCACACAGGGCCUUUCUAAGGAUAAGAAAUGUGUGGGCUGGAGACUGAGAAGGUAAUUUACUUACAAGUGGUGAAAUGUUUCCUUCAGAAGAUGCCCGUGAUGCUCUAACAGGAUGAGGUAGUAGGUUGUGUGGUUUCAGGGUAGUGAUUUUGCCCCAAUCAGGAGAUAACUAUACAACCUACUGCCUUCCCUGAUAGGCAGCAUAACAACAUCAGUGUCUUAAUUCACAGAGAAAGGAGCUAAAGUACACUCCUGAGAUAUGCUUCUGAGACCAGCAAAGUAAGUCUAGAUACAGUUGUUGCUAUCCUGUCUCUAGUAGCUCUAAAUUUAGAUUUUAAGUGUAGAUUUUUGGUAACUGCCUGCAAAGUAAUUAACCUUUUUUAAGUCUUUAUCAUGAAAAUUGAAUUAAAGAAGUUUUAUUUAUUUCA